GGACAAUCGAUGAGAGCAACAAUUUUUUUCUCUAAUGCCCAACAAUUGAACAACAUUAGUUUCAUGGCCUAAUUUUAUGGACCAGACCGACACUAGGACUUGGGCCAGCUUAAAACUUCUGAAAUCUGUAACAAGCUUCUCCAUUCUCAAACCCAUAAUCAGGCCCAAAAUCAAGAUCAAACAUAUGAAAAAAGAUAAAAUAAAAUAUUAUAAAUCAAUUUAAGCCAACUUAACUCAUUAACCAUAUGAAAUUCACAGUUAAGAAAGUCCA
RNAcentral lists this unclassified non-coding RNA (271 nucleotides) under Hevea brasiliensis (rubber tree). Lineage: Eukaryota; Viridiplantae; Streptophyta; Magnoliopsida; Malpighiales; Euphorbiaceae. The record is from RNAcentral.